Rhagoletis pomonella (apple maggot) is the source of this 189-nucleotide long non-coding RNA. RefSeq lists it as uncharacterized. The transcript has 3 exons. The record is from RefSeq and is a predicted model, not a curated record. NCBI's taxonomy places the organism in Eukaryota, Metazoa, Arthropoda, Insecta, Diptera, Tephritidae.
UUCUUAUUCGCUGACAUUUGUUUUCUAAUUGCUUGAAAUUUGGUAAUUUCCUUAGUGUUUUCCUGGCCGACCUGUGCUGGUAUUGUAAUUAAGAGCUAAUACACCAUUCUCUGGUGAACUGCAGCUGCGGCCGAAUUUGAUUGUGUGCAUCAUCCUGCAGAUAUUUUGAAGUAAGUUGGAACCAGCUCU